UAGGAGGUAGCAAUAUUUUCUAGUUGGAGUGGCGCAAGGGUGCGUAACACGUGGGUAAUCUGCCGUGAAGUUUGGGAUAACUCGCUGAAAGGCGAGCUAAUACCGGAUGUGAAGGUGAGGAAGCAUUUUUUGACCUUCAAAGCUGGGGACCGUAACAGGCCUGGCGCUUCACGAUGAGCCCGCGGCCUAUCAGCUAGUUGGUAAGGUAACGGCUUACCAAGGCUAAGACGGGUAGCUGGUCUGAGAGGACGACCAGCCACACUGGAACUGAGACACGGUCCAGACACCUACGGGUGGCAGCAGUCGAGAAUUUUUCACAAUGGGCGCAAGCCUGAUGGAGCGACGCCGCGUGGGGGAUGAAGGGUUUCGAUCCGUAAACCCCUGUCAUUUGCGAACAAACCUUAACCGCUAACACCGGUUAGGCUGAUUGUAGUGAAAGAGGAAGGGACGGCUAACUCUGUGCCAGCAGCCGCGGUAAUACAGAGGUCCCAAGCGUUGUUCGGAUUCACUGGGCGUAAAGGGUGCGUAGGUGGCCAGGUAAGUUUGGUGUGAAAGCUCGGAGCUUAACUCCGAAAAGUCAUUGAAUACUAUCUGGCUGGAGGGUCGGAGGGGAGACUGGAAUUCACGGUGUAGCA
Molecule: ribosomal RNA, 635 nt
Filed under: uncultured Verrucomicrobiota bacterium
Lineage: Bacteria; Pseudomonadati; Verrucomicrobiota
Description: bacterial SSU rRNA
Rfam family: Bacterial small subunit ribosomal RNA
Source: RNAcentral